CCUACGGGUGGCAGCAGUGGGGAAUAUUGGACAAUGGGCGAAAGCCUGAUCCAGCCAUGCCGCGUGUGUGAAGAAGGCCUUCGGGUUGUAAAGCACUUUCAGUGGGGAAGAAAGCCUUGGGGCUAAUACCCUCGAGGAAGGACAUCACCCACAGAAGAAGCACCGGCUAACUCCGUGCCAGCAGCCGCGGUAAUACGGAGGGUGCGAGCGUUAAUCGGAAUUACUGGGCGUAAAGCGCGCGUAGGCGGUCUGAUAAGCCGGUUGUGAAAGCCCCGGGCUCAACCUGGGAACGGCAUCCGGAACUGUCAGGCUAGAGUGCAGGAGAGGAAGGUAGAAUUCCCGGUGUAGCAGUGAAAUGCGUAGAGAUCGGGAGGAAUACCAGUGGCGAAGGCGGCCUUCUGGACUGACACUGACGCUGAGGUGCGAAAGCGUGGGUAGCAAACAGGAUUAGAUACCCCGGUAGUC
Molecule: ribosomal RNA, 465 nt
Filed under: Vreelandella stevensii
Lineage: Bacteria; Pseudomonadati; Pseudomonadota; Gammaproteobacteria; Oceanospirillales; Halomonadaceae
Description: partial 16S ribosomal RNA
Rfam family: Bacterial small subunit ribosomal RNA
Source: RNAcentral